AGAAAAAACUUGGAGUGAAAUAGGGCUGCUAACUUUGUUUUGGGUGAUUCGAUUUCAUCCUUUUUCUU
This 68-nucleotide transfer RNA is filed under the name Babylonia areolata. RNAcentral describes it as "tRNA-Ser". The record is from RNAcentral. Lineage: Eukaryota; Metazoa; Mollusca; Gastropoda; Neogastropoda; Buccinidae.